GACGAACGCUGGCGGCGUGCUUAACACAUGCAAGUCGAACGGAAAGGCCCUGCUUUUGUGGGGUGCUCGAGUGGCGAACGGGUGAGUAACACGUGAGUAACCUGCCCUUGACUUUGGGAUAACUUCAGGAAACUGGGGCUAAUACCGGAUAGGAGCUCCUGCUGCAUGGUGGGGGUUGGAAAGUUUCGGCGGUUGGGGAUGGACUCGCGGCUUAUCAGCUUGUUGGUGGGGUAGUGGCUUACCAAGGCUUUGACGGGUAGCCGGCCUGGGAGGGUGACCGGGCACAUGGGGACUGAGAUACGGACCAGAAUCCUACGGGAGGCAGCAGUGGGGAAUAUUGCACAAUGGGCGGAAGCCUGAUGCAGCAACGCCGCGUGCGGGAUGACGGCCUUCGGGGUGUAAACCGAUUUCGCCUGUGACGAAGCGUGAGUGACGGUAAUGGGUAAAGAAGCACCGGCUAACUACGUG
RNAcentral lists this ribosomal RNA (468 nucleotides) under uncultured bacterium. Its description in RNAcentral is "partial 16S ribosomal RNA". It matches the Rfam family "Bacterial small subunit ribosomal RNA", at positions 28 to 507 of the family's 1533-position model. The record is from RNAcentral.